UCAAUUAUUUAUAGCCUCUGGCUAUAGGAAAUUGUUAGUGGCAGACGGGUGAGUAAUGCGUAGGAAUCUACCUAGUAGUACGGAAUAGCCAUUAGAAAUGGUGGGUAAUACUGUAUAAUCCCCGAGGGGGAAAGAUUUAUCGCUAUUAGAUGAGCCUACGUUAGAUUAGCUAGUUGGUGAGGUAAUGGCUUACCAAGGCUAUGAUCUAUAGCUGGUCUGAGAGGACGAUCAGCCACACUGGAACUGAGAUACGGUCCAGACUCCUACGGGAGGCAGCAGUGGGGAAUAUUGGACAAUGGGCGAAAGCCUGAUCCAGCUAUGCCGCGUGAGUGAAGAAGGC
This 340-nucleotide ribosomal RNA is filed under the name uncultured Ehrlichia sp. RNAcentral's name for it is "bacterial SSU rRNA". It matches the Rfam family "Bacterial small subunit ribosomal RNA", at positions 63 to 415 of the family's 1533-position model. Lineage: Bacteria; Pseudomonadati; Pseudomonadota; Alphaproteobacteria; Rickettsiales; Anaplasmataceae. The record is from RNAcentral.